CCUGAGUUUGUGACACUAGUAUUCUUAGGGCUGAGGGUUGCAAUGGGUCGGCUUACUUCGUCUCAGCCAAAAAGAAAAGCACAACUCUCAUCUCUCACACCCAACACUGAUGGAUCUCCUGCAAUUCAAGCAUCAGUAGUGUUUGAUCUCGUCCGAUCUUUGGUGGGAAAACGACUCUGAUUUGGCAGCUUUGAUCUCUGCUCUCAACAAAGCUCUCAUUACCCAAAAGCUCAUCUGCAUGCAUGGUAUUAAUAAUGGCUCCUUAAAGAAGAAGAAGAAGGAGGAGAAGGGGGACGGGUGAUUCAAUGGAUCAAAUUCUCUCCAUUUUUCGCUGGUUGUGGGGUGAAACAGACGAUAAAAAGAACCCAAGU
Vitis riparia (riverbank grape) is the source of this 371-nucleotide long non-coding RNA. RefSeq lists it as uncharacterized. NCBI's taxonomy places the organism in Eukaryota, Viridiplantae, Streptophyta, Magnoliopsida, Vitales, Vitaceae. The record is from RefSeq and is a predicted model, not a curated record. The transcript has 3 exons.